CCAGACUCCUACGGGAGGCAGCAGUGGGGAAUAUUGCACAAUGGGGGGAACCCUGAUGCAGCGACGCCGCGUGGGUGAAGGAGCGCCUCGGUGCGUAAAGCCCUAUCGGCAGGGAAGAAACAGACGGUACCUGACUAAGAAGCCCCGGCUAACUACGUGCCAGCAGCCGCGGUAAUACGUAGAGGGCAAGCGUUAUCCGGAUUCACUGGGUGUAAAGGGAGCGUAGACGGCGACGCAAGUCUGGAGUGAAAGCCCGGGGCCCAACCCCGGGACUGCUCUGGAAACUGUGUAACUUGAGUGCAGGAGAGGUAAGCGGAAUUCCUAGUGUAGCGGUGAAAUGCGUAGAUAUUAGGAGGAACACCAGUGGCGAAGGCGGCUUACUGGACUGUAACUGACGUUGAGGCUCGAAAGCGUGGGGAGCAAACAGGAUUAGAUACCCCGGUA
This 444-nucleotide ribosomal RNA is filed under the name uncultured bacterium. RNAcentral describes it as "bacterial SSU rRNA". It matches the Rfam family "Bacterial small subunit ribosomal RNA", at positions 331 to 792 of the family's 1533-position model. The record is from RNAcentral.